This is a long non-coding RNA of Mustela putorius furo (domestic ferret), 431 nucleotides long. Ensembl lists it as uncharacterized. The record is from Ensembl. NCBI's taxonomy places the organism in Eukaryota, Metazoa, Chordata, Mammalia, Carnivora, Mustelidae.
GUAGGAGCCCCAAGUGCUUUCGGUCUUCCUAAAAACCACUGUGCGGUGCGCGCGGGUGGAGGGAAGAGAAAUCUGGAAGGAACUCGCGCCGUGGCGGAAGGAGCUCCAAGGGACGGCUGAUAGAGCCACGAGUACUGCGAGAUGACCGCGACAGGCUGGGGGAAGGGGAAUCAGCUGCCAUGUUGCGAGGACACUCAAGCAGCCAUGUGGAGAAGCCCAUAUGAAGAAGAACUGAAGCCUUCCUGUAACUAAUUUGCCAGGCUGUACAGAAACAGGCAGGAAGCUGGAUUUGGCCCACAGGACUGUAGUUUGCUGUUCCCUGGCUUAUAGUUUGUCUGUUCUUUGGAUUCUCCUUUGAACCAUCUGCAACAUCUUAUUGGCUCCUACAUUAACUAAUGAAUUAAAUAAAAUCUUCGACUAUGUGCUCACUU